CAGAGUGUCGCGCUAGCAGGGCGUCCCCAGCCGGGGGCAGGGAGGCCGGGGACAUCGCAGCUGGGAGAGGCAGGCGUGGCCCAAGCCCGCUGGCCGGGCAGCGCCGGCAGGAGACCCUGCGCCUCCCUUCCCAGCCGGGCUCCGUCGCCAUCAGGUCCUCGAAGGAAAGAGCAGGUCGAACACCCUGCCGUGGAGCCUGGGGUCGGCGCCCGGGUCAGCCCUCGCCCCUCCGGAGCAGGGUGCGCCGGGCUCUCCGGAGUCAGCGCAGGGCAGGCGUCGCAGCCGGGCGCAGGUGCGGGAAAGUGAGGGUCGCGCGGGUCCCCACGGCCCCUGAGUAGCUUGGGGCGCCCCGGUGCGGGACCCCGGGUCCCCUUACCGCAGAGCAGCACCAGCAGCAGCGAGAGAAGUUGAGGGCGCCAAAGCACUACUCGCGUCUCCAUGGCUGGUCGGCUGCGGCGCGGUUCGGCUGGGUCCGGGCUGGGCACGCUGGGGGCGCCCGGAGGCGGGGCCCAGACGGGGUUGGGGCCACGGAGAGCCCGCCCCCAGGACGCGCCCCCACUACGCUCCCUCGCCCAGGACAGGCUCCCCCUGAGGACGCGCCUCUCGCACUCCUCCCCAGGGCGCGCCCUCCCCGGCAGGAUGCUCUCGCUGAGAUGAGCCAUCCCUCCCGCUGCGGGGGUGCGGCCCGCGGCGACCGCGGCUGGGCAGGCGAGGAAAAAUAACACCAUAGAGUGGAAAGAAAAACUACCUGAUGAGAGAAAGUAUUUGUGACACACAGGAUUCAAAUCUAAAGGAACUAUGACUUAUAGCAAUUUGUAAGCAGAAUUGAAGCAUUUACCUUUUUCUCCCUAUCUGAUCCCUCCAGAAUUUGAAAACUCUUGAUGAAUGAUCCAAAAGACCCAGAGAGAAUUCGAAUUAAAGAACCAGACACUCUCAGAUGUUCCUCUGCAUCAUCUCUAUAGUGGAGACUGAAUCCUAUUAAAAUACUGGAAACACAAGCACCCAGAAGAUCAAUUUCAUCUCUGCUGAAUGGGACCAUACAAGCAAUGCCACAGGAAACAGGAAUCAUGCCAUAGAAGAACAUCACAACAGGAUCACCCAAACCUUGGCUGGCUUCAUACUCUAGACACUGACUUCUCCAAAUGGACAAGUGAACCUCUAAUAGAUCUCAAGUUGCUGUACAGAAGACGGUCCCCUAAAACAGGAAGCAGCUGGAGCGGUCUUCAUCCCCAUUCCCCAAGAUUGACGAAUGAUCAAAAGAGAAGGGGGAUUGAAACUGAAGAUGAAGGAGUUAAAAUUUCCCUGGAUUAGGGUGAAACUGUGCCUUGUACCCACAAGGUUAACGUGGGAAACAAAAUAACCAAAGUUUCUGAGCUUGCCUUGCAGAACAGCAGGAGGACCACUGAUAAGAGAGGAACUUGCUGACAGCCCCCUGCCUGACUAAGCAUCUUGGAGGAACAUUGAGAAGCUAAAAUGACUGAUUGCAAACUUUAGAUGUCAAAGACUAAAGACUAAAAAGCCACCACUUGAAACAUGUAGAACAGACAGUCACACCUGUGCAGAGGACACUUAGAACUUCAGCCCAGAAGGCCACAUGCCCCCCUCCCCUACCUAAAACCCCGAACAAAAACCCUUGCUUGUAGCUUUUUGGAAGUUCAAAAUUACAGUGUUAGCUGCCCAUUCCCCUUACUCAGUGCUUUGCAAUAAAAUUCCUACUUUCUUCCACUACACCCAGUGUCAGAGAUUGGCUUGCUGCACAACGAGUGAGUGAAGUCACUUCAGGUUCAAUAUCAAGGAUAUAAGCCCUCUGGCUGCAAAGGAUUCACACAACAAAACCCCAAGUCAAAAUCCCCCCAAGAAAAAGGAGCCGUCAUUCUGCCCAAAGGGGAUCAUGGCCAGUCAAACAACAUCAGUCAUCUCCCCUCAAAGUGCCAUCCCCAGGGCUCUUCCUCACCUAUGCCAAUGUCAUGUCACAUUGAGGGUGCCAUUAGGUCAUUCUCUCAGUUAGUUAGGACUGAGGGGAAAUGGGGCUUCAGUUUGUGCUCCCAACCAGGUACACACCCUGUCCCAGUGCCACACACCACGGAGGGCAAGAGGAUGAGGGCUGGGGAUGCCCACAGAGGUCACCAGAACCUUGGCAGGAUUCAGAGUUGGCCCAGGCCCGCCCUCCCCCUGCUGAGCUUGGAGGGGAGAGCUCCGUGUUCUCUGCUCCUCUCUCAGGGCAUCUUCAUGCCCACUCUGUGCACUUAGCAAGACCGACUUCUUCUUGGAAUCCACUAGCUCCUCCACACUUAGCCCUUGGGGCCCUCCUCCUCCGGGUCUGCUCCUCUGGCCUCUGCACCUUCUGUCUCCAUCCAGCUCUGCCCCCGACUUCACCCACCAAGAUCCAGCUCUUCCUCCACUCCUCCAUGUCUGGCUCAGGGCCCUCCCUGGGUCCAGGCCCUCUGCUCUCACGUCUUGUGGCCCCAACUCCUCACCCCCCAGCUUGGGAACUGGAACAUUGAGUCCCUGGAACAGAACUGUCUUUGCUGAAAUUAGUGAAACUGCCAGGUGGUAUGAGUAGCCUGUCUGCAGAGAGACAGAACCCAAAUGCCAGUCCUCUCUCCUGCCUAGCUGCAGGCUGCCCCCGUCUCUGUGUGACACAUCAUUUCUCUUUUUGCUGCAUAAACUGCUUUUUAAUUUUUUAAAUUAGAGUCACAUAAAAUAAUAUAACAGAGAAGAUGCCUAAAUUUUUUUAAUUAAUUUGUUACGAUCAUUCUACCACUUAGUAAUUGUAAAACCCCUUUCUGAAGUUAAAGUAACGCUUGAUGAUUGCAACAAAGAAGACAGAGUCAGUGUGCCAGGCGAACACUCUCUGCAACGCAGUGAAGAAGGAAGUGCACGUUCUUUUCUGUUCUCCUUUUCAGUCGGUCCCACGCCCAAAGGUAAAUUUUCUUUUUUUUGUAUGGUACUAAUUCUUCCAUAACAAAGAUACAAUCUCUGAUGGCUGAACAGCAUUCCUCUGUGCGGCACUGGCUUUCAUCAACCCCACCUUAGAGUUUCCCCAUAACAAACAAGGCGUUACUGUCAUCACAGUGCAGUCUUUGCACAGUCCCGUGCAUUGUACACAUUCCUAGGAUAAAAUGCAGUUACAUUAAUUAAUAAGCAUCAUGUACAUUCCCAGAGUAGAAUGCUGCAGCCACGAAGGCAGCACACACACAGUUCGGUUGGCUGGCUUCCUGUGGAAGUGAGGCCCUGCAUUCCCACAUUCCUGCUACCUGCAGCCACACAGCCCACAUGGCCGCACGGGCAUCAAGUCCAGAUGAGUGGACUCUGCCCGGGUCCUUUUCCUUCCACACACAGCCUUUCCCAAAAUUCUCUCAGUCAUGUGUUCCCCGUGACCACAGCAGCUCCUCAAAUGGCUCAAGCGUCACCUAUGUAGCAGUCAGGACAGACACAGAUGGGGAGAGCAGUUAUAGUCAUGGAAAUGAAGGACAGAUGAAGGACAGCCAGCCAGGGAUGUCCCAGGGUGUGCCCUCUCACCUGUGGUUCCAGGUGCGUUGGCCUUCCAGGACAUGGCCGUGUCCUGGGAGCUGGAUGGGGAGCCGGGGGGCAGCGGAGCUUGGCCACCUCGAGACCCUGUCUCUUGUGCGAGAUGAGUAGGGGGAGCUCUGGGGAAGACUCAGGUGGAGUCAAUACUCGAUGUUUUAUUUUAUUGCUUCUUUUCCAGUCACUUCACUGGCUGUUUUCAGGGUCUUUCUCUGUUUCUGUUACCUUCAAAAAGCAGCUAUUCCGUGUUGGCUGAACGACGCUUUGCCACACCAGGUUCUCUGCUUCCCCUGCAGUCCCACAGGAAUGUUUCAGGGCUAGAACUGGAGCCCAGUGUCCCCAGUGUCCCCACACACACGCACAGGGCCAGGACUCUUGCCAGCCUCCCGCGCUUGUCUCUGUCUCCUCUGCACCCACUCCAAAUGGGGUCACCGUCCAUAGCAGGGCUGUCCAUUAGACCUAUAGUGUGGGCGACACAGGUCGUGGUAAAUCUGGUGGCCAAAUAGGAAAAUGUAAAACAAACAGGUGAAAUUUUAUUUUUAGCAAGACAUCUUAU
Molecule: long non-coding RNA, 4084 nt
Organism: Equus caballus (horse)
Lineage: Eukaryota; Metazoa; Chordata; Mammalia; Perissodactyla; Equidae
Source: Ensembl